This is a long non-coding RNA of Aedes aegypti (yellow fever mosquito), 1758 nucleotides long. RefSeq lists it as uncharacterized. The record is from RefSeq and is a predicted model, not a curated record. NCBI's taxonomy places the organism in Eukaryota, Metazoa, Arthropoda, Insecta, Diptera, Culicidae. The transcript has 3 exons.
UGUUGUUGUUGAUUCGUGCGGAGCACGCAGAGGACGUUUUUUUUAGUUCUGCUAAAUUUAUUGUUAUUUUUUUAAGCAAUAUAGUUAGUCGGUAGAAAUUGCAAUUCUACAUCGACAAGUGAUGGUUGUCUCGACCAAAAUAGGUUAAAAAUUGCAACAGUUUUGGAUGCGAAAAUCGCUCCGGUGUGGGGUUAGUUUCUUCCCGGUUGCCUGCCGUAAGAACAAGGUCUACCACCGGUGAACAAAACUUAUGCCCCGGUCAGGUGAAAGACACGAGCGGAUUUGCAGCCAGCAUUUUGCGGCCAACGAUUUCAUCGAAAAUACCAGAUAGAAACUACAUAACGUUGCAGUUCCAACGGUAAAGCUGCAAGACGGGAAAAUACUGCGUGGGACAGAAUGUUGUGUCCCCAAAUGCAAGCCAUACAAAGCAAAGCGGGGUCUCCACCACUUCCCUACGCUCAAAUCCGUCCGUAUGAAGGAAAAAGGCGUUGAGGAUGGAUGAAGCUGAAGCCCAAAAGCUACUGCGGUUCUGUACAGGAAGAUAACUAGGUUGGUUAAGAUUCCGCGGCGGUCGUUGAUACACCUGAUUCACCCACACACUUGAAGGACUACAAUUACACCAAAUAUGCAUGCAACAACGGAGUAACCGAUUAUGUUUUGUGGAAGGAUGUCAAUCAAAAAACGGAAGGCAACAUAAAAUUUCACAAAUUUCCGGUUGCACAAGACCUGCGGUAUAAAGUGGAUUCUGAUUUUAAAAUGCUCCAAGUUGCCAACACGAAAUUUAACAUUUUACAUUUCAGAAAGACCGACUAUCAGAGGUGGACCAAGGAUGAAGCGGAUUGCAAUACCAUCAAUGAGAAUUUCUGACGCAGCCGUUGAUUCGUCAACAAUAACCAAUUCGUUCGAUAAAUCAACAUCAACUAAAGAAAGCCCUGCCCAUAGGUUCACAUCUGAACUUCUGGAUCACCAAAUCACUAACGAAGUCAACAAUCCUUACACGCCAAAUACGGUAUCCUAUUCGUAUGACGACAACCUUAGUAAGUUUAUCGCUGGUCAAAGUGUUGUUAAAAGUGAUUUAGGCGAAUAUCCUUCUAUUAGAUGUGUCUCAAUUGACAAUUUCUGGUAUGCCUCUUGCUAGCAGCUACGCUAAAAAAAAAUGCCUGGAAUAAAGGAUACCUUCCAGGCAUCAGCGAAGAUAAGCCUCUUUCGAUUCGAAUAACCAGGAUUCUGCUGCGAUUACAAACUCAGAUGUCGGAAAUUCAACGAAGAUCAAGUCCGGUUUGCUUAUACUGUCUGACUUACUAGUGAGCGAUAAAGAACCGGAUGACCUACACUCGCCUUGCUGGAAGAGAUUUGUUUAGCUUGUAGAAAGUUGGAACAGAUGUUGUCAAACAAUUCAACAUGCAUACAACUGAUAGAGUAAUCUUGACGCUUGCCAAGCUUAAACAAAAUCUAUCAUACGAAGCAUUAGGAAUAUUGUUCCGUGUUGCAGCAGUCACCGUCUACUUUUCUCACAUGGUUCAAGUGUAACUCCUUCAAUCCUUGGUCAUAUUGACGACAUACCUACGAUUAUUUGUACAAGCGUCAAUCUUAGUGCAUCAAUCUUGGUCGAUGGCCAGUUGUAGUAAGUUUACUGUUAUUAACUUAACUGGCCUACGUGACGGUCAUGUAUGAUAAAUAAAAAUGUACGCAAUGUAUCGUAUUUAAUGUGCUUUUUUGUGAAAAAUUAAAUGAGAAAUUUUCCUUGGUUCUCGCAUA